RNAcentral lists this ribosomal RNA (490 nucleotides) under uncultured bacterium. Its description in RNAcentral is "partial 16S ribosomal RNA". It matches the Rfam family "Bacterial small subunit ribosomal RNA", at positions 30 to 507 of the family's 1533-position model. The record is from RNAcentral.
AUUGAACGCUGGCGGCAGGCCUAACACAUGCAAGUCGAACGGUAACAGGAAGAAGCUUGCUUCUUUGCUGACGAGUGGCGGACGGGUGAGUAAUGUCUGGGAAACUGCCUGAUGGAGGGGGAUAACUACUGGAAACGGUAGCUAAUACCGCAUAACGUCGCAAGACCAAAAAGGGGGACCUUCGGGCCUCUUACCAUCGGAUGUGCCCAGAUGGGAUUAGCUAGUAGGUGGGGUAACGGCUCACCUAGGCGACGAUCCCUAGCUGGUCUGAGAGGAUGACCAGCCACACUGGAACUGAGACACGGUCCAGACUCCUACGGGAGGCAGCAGUGGGGAAUAUUGCACAAUGGGCGCAAGCCUGAUGCGGCCAUGCCGCGUGUAUGAAGAAGGCCUUCGGGUUGUAAAGUACUUUCAGCGGGGAGGAAGGGAGUAAAGUUAAUACCUUUGCUCAUUGACGUUACCCGCAGAAGAAGCACCGGCUAACUCCGUG